UAUAGAAGGUCAGGCUGAAGACCUUACCCGAUUAGCUGAGAGGUGGUGCAUGGCCGUCGUCAGUUCGUACUGUGAAGCAUCCUGUUAAGUCAGGCAACGAGCGAGACCCACGUCCACAGUUGCCAGCAUACCCUCCGGGGUGAUGGGUACACUGUGGAGACCGCCGCUGCUAAAGCGGAGGAAGGAGUGGGCAACGGUAGGUCAGUAUGCCCCGAAUCUCCCGGGCUACACGCGGGCUACAAUGGUUGGUACAAUGGGCAUCUACCCCGAAAGGGGAAGGAAAUCUCUUAAAGCCAAUCGUAGUUCGGAUUGAGGGCUGCAACUCGCCCUCAUGAAGCUGGAAUCCGUAGUAAUCGCGUUUCAACAGAACGCGGUGAAUACGUCCCUGCUCCUU
This 394-nucleotide ribosomal RNA is filed under the name uncultured Methanosaeta sp. Its description in RNAcentral is "bacterial SSU rRNA". It matches the Rfam family "Archaeal small subunit ribosomal RNA", at positions 945 to 1338 of the family's 1478-position model. Lineage: Archaea; Methanobacteriati; Methanobacteriota; Methanomicrobia; Methanotrichales; Methanotrichaceae. The record is from RNAcentral.